UUGAAAGGUGAAAGCGUUUUAGAUUCCAAUGAAACAAUGCGAACAGUAUCCUUCUUAGAGUGAACAUCUACCAUUGCCCUUUAGCUUAUGGCUUGUUGAGAUAUGCCUCCUGAAUCAGUUUUUAGUAGCGCAGAAAUAUCUAUUGAUUGUCCUUUCUAAACCUGCAAUUGCGUAUUGAGAAGAGAUGUCACACUCGCUCAGUUUGCUCAAUUAAAAAUUUUAAAUAGCAAUGUUUACGAGGUAAAUAUGACUUCUUUACAGUCUACAAGCUGCAACAUGCGGCUCAGAUUAUAUCUGCCCGUUAUUCGAGUAUCCGGAGCAAGACUGCGUGGGAAGCAUCGUGUUCAUGCUUCACACACCGCAGUACCUUCAACGCACUCAGUGGCGAGCACAGCAACAACUUCUGCUAACGAUGCUUGAUUCAUCGAUCGUUUGAAGUUUGCUUUUAGCUCUCGGGGAGAUUUAAUGGGUGCUUCAAUUUCAUGCUUAAGAAUGCGGUCGUUUUUAGGUGCUCAGGAGCGCGCAAUUACCGCCAGUGUCACCGUCAUCGCAGCUGCUCCACCCAUGCUGUAAAACAAUAAUGCCCACACAGUCACUCCCCCAUUGCACCACAUAUCACACCAACCUUCAGAGUUGAAUACAUUUUCCAGUGAGCACAAUCCCGACUAUAAACGUCUUCUCGAUUCGCACGGACUCCGCUCUGUACAGGAGUCUGGAGAAAUUUGGACUUAAAAUGAACCAUUUGAUAGGUUCCAAUAACUACAGAAUUGUUCCCUUAAGAGCAGGCCAUCGAAGGCACCCAUCUAUUAACAUGAGAGAUAUAUUGGUCUCGUCAAUGCUGGCUCACCUGCUCUACACCUUUAAUUGAUCUUUACACAAGGGUCAAAGCAA
Molecule: long non-coding RNA, 891 nt
Filed under: Physcomitrium patens
Lineage: Eukaryota; Viridiplantae; Streptophyta; Bryopsida; Funariales; Funariaceae
Description: long non-coding RNA (PPAT_LNC003888)
Source: RNAcentral